UGGGGAAUUUUGGACAAUGGGCGCAAGCCUGAUCCAGCCACUCCGCGUGCAGGAUGAAGGCCCUCGGGUUGUAAACUGCUUUUGUACGGAACGAAAAGGCUCUGGUUAAUACCUGGGGCUCAUGACGGUACCGUAAGAAUAAGCACCGGCUAACUACGUG
This 160-nucleotide ribosomal RNA is filed under the name uncultured Comamonas sp. RNAcentral's name for it is "partial 16S ribosomal RNA". It matches the Rfam family "Bacterial small subunit ribosomal RNA", at positions 355 to 507 of the family's 1533-position model. Lineage: Bacteria; Pseudomonadati; Pseudomonadota; Betaproteobacteria; Burkholderiales; Comamonadaceae. The record is from RNAcentral.